This is a non-coding RNA of Homo sapiens (human), 117 nucleotides long. It matches the Rfam family "Metazoan signal recognition particle RNA". Rfam says of the family: The signal recognition particle (SRP) is a universally conserved ribonucleoprotein. NCBI's taxonomy places the organism in Eukaryota, Metazoa, Chordata, Mammalia, Primates, Hominidae. The record is from Rfam.
GCCGGACGCGGUGGCUCACGUCUGUAAUCCCAGUACUUUGGGAGGCCGAGGCGGGUGGAUCACCUGAGGUCAGGAGUUCAAGACCAGCCUGGCCAACAUGGUGAAACCCCGUCUCUA